RNA transcript from Callithrix jacchus (white-tufted-ear marmoset), 1997 nucleotides. RefSeq lists it as uncharacterized. The record is from RefSeq and is a predicted model, not a curated record. NCBI's taxonomy places the organism in Eukaryota, Metazoa, Chordata, Mammalia, Primates, Cebidae.
AAGAACAACCACCCAGUCGAACCACCGGCGUCAGGGCAAUCCAAGAGUCUGCCUCCCGAUUGGGUAAAGCCCAGAGGCCUCGCCCAACAAGGGGCGCGCUGGUUGGCGGUGGACGGACCAAUGAGAAGGCGAGGAACAAUGACGGGGCCCGGGAAUGGAGGGGGCCUGGAAGCCACGCGAUGUCAGGAACAUCUCGUGAGCAGCCUGUGGUGAGGGCGGAGCUGUAGGGAAGGCCUCGCCGUUCCCGUGGCCUGGCCCGCUCAGCUGGGCUUGGCUGGGGUCAGCUCUCCCCUCCCACCGUUACCAGGACGAUCAUCUCCCCACAGCCCAGGCUGACAGGACUGGCGCCAUGAGCUCCCCCGAUGAGGCGUCCGUUUUGGGGGCCGAUUUGGGCCCAGAGGGUGGCGAGCAGGCCGGCGCCCACACCGAAAGCUCCAGAGCCCCAUGGGGCCGGGGCCGGGGCCAUGGCCACGGCCGUGGCCUUGAUUUGGGGGCACAGUGCAGUGGUGAGGGGCAGGGCGAGAGCCGGUUCGCAGAUCCCGAGGGCUUCAGCUUCGAGUCUGAGAGUGAAAUGAUAAAGCAGCGAAGGGUGGUGCUCUGGGGACAGGAAGGCCGGCCUGGCACCCCGGUUGACGACUGGGGGGUCGGUCCCAGUGGGAGAGGCGCUCCGGGCCCCAGCCCGGGAGAAUGCCAGCAGGCCUCCGCCGGCCCUCUCCGCCUCAGUGGUCCUGGGCCAGGCCCGGCCUGGGAGAACCCGGAAAGGGGCUCGAAGAGCAGCAGUGUGAGCGUCCCAGUGGAUCCCCAGCAGCCCUCUGCGGAAGGCCCCGCCGCGCUGUCUGAGGACGAGGACGCUGAUUCCACAGAUGAGAGCAGCCACUUACCGGUGAUUAGGGUAAUCGUUCGCACCAAAGAAGGAAGCCAGGUCAAGCCCGGAAGCCCCAAGAAGCCAGCAGACACUUGCAGACGCCUGAGUUUCCACCGCAAGGAGAGUAACCUUCACGAUCAGGGCCCUCUCCUGACCUCUGCUCCCCACAGACUCACUCCAGCCGUGGGGAGGCGCGCCGUGGGAGAGCUGGAAGCGUCUUCCUCGAAGAAAAUGCGGAGCAUGGUCUGGGGAAAGGUGGGGGUCGGGCCCAGCUGCUCAGGAGCUGCCUUUACAGGGCCGGUACCCCGGGGCUCUCCAGGAAGGAAGGUGGCCCAGGAGAAGAAAUCCCUAGGGGGUGAGCCAAAACUGGCCCCGGAGGGACGCUUUCCUGCUUGGAGGCAGCGACUCUCAACAAUUCCGCAGGAUCCGGCCAGCUUCCCGCUGGUCUCUGGUGUGGGUCUCCUGGGGCAGUCUGGGAGACCCAAGGAGCUCAAGCACUGCAGCCCUGGGAAGAAAUCUGAGGGAAGAAAGACCAGGGAGUCCCAGGCAGCAGCCAGAGAAGAUAAUGACCCAAAUAGAGAUGAGGUCCCAAGGGCCCAACUUCCCACACACAAGCCAGAGGUGAUUUCCCCGUCUGUGCGUCGUGGGGAAUGCAGCAGUGGGGACCUCGCCAUCAGAGCUCCCCAAGUUCCAGGAACCUCACAGCCCUCGGCCUUGAGCGUGAGACGUGUCGUGCUCAGACCCCGUGACCAUCGGCAGCCUGUCCAUCCCCCAAGACCGGAAAGGCAGCAGCCGCCCCCGGGAGCCCAGGGCUGUCUUCGGGUAAUGCUUUGUGUGGCUCCCAGAAAUCCAGGUCCACACUAGAUGGUGGCAUCCGUGUCCAGUGUGUCUGGCUGCAGAGGGAAGUCGAGGACCUUAGAAACCAACUAGUGGCCAUGCAGUACCUCCUUGACAAGUCCCAGCACUUUUGAAGAUGGAGCCAGCGUCUUCCUGCAAGAUGUGCAGUUGGUACCUCUGGAGCCCCUGAGCUGCAGCCGAGCUGGUUCCCUCCGAAUCCUCUUCAGCCAAGGCUUCCUCUCUUCCUCUGCGUUUGCCCUCUUCCCGCCGCAGUUCAAAGCAGUUUCAAAUAAAG